UGGGGAAUAUUGCACAAUGGAGGAAACUCUGAUGCAGCGACGCCGCGUGAGUGAAGAAGGUCUUCGGAUCGUAAAACUCUGUCCUUGGUGACGAAAAAAAUGACGGUAGCCAAGGAGGAAGCCCCGGCUAACUACGUGCCAGCAGCCGCGGUAAUACGUAGGGGGCGAGCGUUGUCCGGAUUUACUGGGUGUAAAGGGCGCGCAGGCGGAAUGGAAAGUCAGUGGUGAAAUCCUACAGCUUAACUGUAGAACUGCCUUUGAUACUUUCAUUCUUGAGUUCGGGAGAGAGAGACGGAAUUCCAGGUGUAGUGGUGAAAUACGUAGAUAUCUGGAAGAACACCAGUUGCGAAGGCGGUCUCUUGGUCCGAUACUGACGCUGAGGCGCGAAAGCGUGGGGAGCAAACA
This 405-nucleotide ribosomal RNA is filed under the name uncultured bacterium. Its description in RNAcentral is "bacterial SSU rRNA". It matches the Rfam family "Bacterial small subunit ribosomal RNA", at positions 355 to 774 of the family's 1533-position model. The record is from RNAcentral.